CAGAGUAGGUCCAGCGCGUUAAGUGCUAUGGGAUGGGAAGUUGCCCAUAGACGAAGGGAGUUUUCUCCCGCGGUGCUGAGUCCGCGUCCGCUGC
Molecule: non-coding RNA, 94 nt
Filed under: human gut metagenome
Also listed under: 1 other name
Description: THF riboswitch
Rfam family: THF (Tetrahydrofolate) riboswitch aptamer
About the family: THF riboswitch presents a pseudoknot that joins P1-P2 and the loop of P3 and two THF binding.
Source: RNAcentral